AAUGAACGCUGGCGGCGCGCCUAAUACAUGCAAGUCGAGCGAGAAGACGUAGCAAUACGUUUGUAAAGCGGCGAACGGGUGAGGAAUACAUGGGUAACCUACCCUCGAGUGGGGAAUAACUAGCCGAAAGGUUAGCUAAUACCGCGUACGCUCCUUGGACUUCGGUUCAGGGAGGAAAGCGAUACCGUGGGUAUCGCGCUCUUGGUUGGGCUCAUGUCCUAUCAGCUUGUUGGUGAGGAACGGCUCACCAAGGCUUCGACGGGUAGCUGGUCUGAGAGGACGAUCAGCCACACUGGCACUGCGACACGGGCCAGACUCCUACGGGAGGCAGCAGUAAGGAAUAUUGCGCAAUGGGCGAAAGCCUGACGCAGCGACGCCGCGUGGGGGAUGAAGGUCUUCGGAUUGUAAACCCC
This 413-nucleotide ribosomal RNA is filed under the name uncultured bacterium. RNAcentral's name for it is "bacterial SSU rRNA". It matches the Rfam family "Bacterial small subunit ribosomal RNA", at positions 29 to 433 of the family's 1533-position model. The record is from RNAcentral.